CCACGCCCGAAGUCGUUACCCCAACCGAAAGGGGGGGAUGCCUAAGGUAGGACUGAUGACUGGGGUGAAGUCGUAACAAGGUAGCCGUACCGGAAGGUGUGGCUGGAUCACCUCCUUUUAGGGAGACCUAAUCCAUUUAGAAAUCGAAAACAAUGAAAAUUGUCAAUAGAAACUAAAUUGGUCUAACCUAGGUCGUUCGAGAUUGGUAGAUAUCUUUCAAAGUAUUAUUCGGCUUCGUUCAAAACCAUAUAUAAUAAAUGGAAAAAGACAGCACCUAAUUGCCAAAGUUAGACUGCUGGAUGAAAUUCCAGCCAGAACCUUGAAAACUGCAUAAGAGAACGAGAAAAAGCAGGCAGACACAGACAUUUAGAUGGAUGUGAAAGCAAAGAAAAAUUGUGGUCAAGCUAAUAAGGGCUAAUGGUGGAUACCUAGGCACACAGAGGAAGGGC
This 449-nucleotide unclassified non-coding RNA is filed under the name uncultured Nostocaceae cyanobacterium. RNAcentral describes it as "partial contains 16S ribosomal RNA and 16S-23S ribosomal RNA intergenic spacer". The stretch from base 1 to 118 matches the Rfam family "Bacterial small subunit ribosomal RNA", at positions 1415 to 1533 of the family's 1533-position model. Lineage: Bacteria; Bacillati; Cyanobacteriota; Cyanophyceae; Nostocales; Nostocaceae. The record is from RNAcentral.